ACAGCCCCGUACACAAAAAUGCACAUGCUGUGAGCUCGAUGAGUAGGGCGGGACACGUGGUAUCCUGUCUGAAUAUGGGGGGACCAUCCUCCAAGGCUAAAUACUCCUGACUGACCGAUAGUGAACCAGUACCGUGAGGGAAAGGCGAAAAGAACCCCGGCGAGGGGAGUGAAAAAGAACCUGAAACCGUGUACGUACAAGCAGUGGGAGCACGCUUAGGCGUGUGACUGCGUACCUUUUGUAUAAUGGGUCAGCGACUUAUAUUCUGUAGCAAGGUUAACCGAAUAGGGGAGCCGAAGGGAAACCGAGUCUUAACUGGGCGUUAAGUUGCAGGGUAUAGACCCGAAACCCGGUGAUCUAGCCAUGGGCAGGUUGAAGGUUGGGUAACACUAACUGGAGGACCGAACCGACUAAUGUUGAAAAAUUAGCGGAUGACUUGUGGCUGGGGGUGAAAGGCCAAUCAAACCGGGAGAUAGCUGGUUCUCCCCGAAAGCUAUUUAGGUAGCGCCUCGUGAAUUCAUCUCCGGGGGUAGAGCACUGUUUCGGCAAGGGGGUCAUCCCGACUUACCAACCCGAUGCAAACUGCGAAUACCGGAGAAUGUUAUCACGGGAGACACACGGCGGGUGCUAACGUCCGUCGUGAAGAGGGAAACAACCCAGACCGCCAGCUAAGGUCCCAAAGUCAUGGUUAAGUGGGAAACGAUGUGGGAAGGCCCAGACAGCCAGGAUGUUGGCUUAGAAGCAGCCAUCAUUUAAAGAAAGCGUAAUAGCUCACUGGUCGAGUCGGCCUGCGCGGAAGAUGUAACGGGGCUAAACCAUGCACCGAAGCUGCGGCAGCGACGCUGAUGCGUUGUUGGGUAGGGGAGCGUUCUGUAAGCCUGCGAAGGUGUGCUGUGAGGCAUGCUGGAGGUAUCAGAAGUGCGAAUGCUGACAUAAGUAACGAUAAAGCGGGUGAAAAGCCCGCUCGCCGGAAGACCAAGGGUUCCUGUCCAACGUUAAUCGGGGCAGGGUGAGUCGACCCCUAAGGCGAGGCCGAAAGGCGUAGUCGAUGGGAAACAGGUUAAUAUUCCUGUACUUGGUGUUACUGCGAAGGGGGGACGGAGAAGGCUAUGUUGGCCGGGCGACGGUUGUCCCGGUUUAAGCGUGUAGGCUGGUUUUCCAGGCAAAUCCGGAAAAUCAAGGCUGAGGCGUGAUGACGAGGCACUACGGUGCUGAAGCAACAAAUGCCCUGCUUCCAGGAAAAGCCUCUAAGCAUCAGGUAACAUCAAAUCGUACCCCAAACCGACACAGGUGGUCAGGUAGAGAAUACCAAGGCGCUUGAGAGAACUCGGGUGAAGGAACUAGGCAAAAUGGUGCCGUAACUUCGGGAGAAGGCACGCUGAUAUGUAGGUGAAGUCCCUCGCGGAUGGAGCUGAAAUCAGUCGAAGAUACCAGCUGGCUGCAACUGUUUAUUAAAAACACAGCACUGUGCAAACACGAAAGUGGACGUAUACGGUGUGACGCCUGCCCGGUGC
This 1514-nucleotide ribosomal RNA is filed under the name Escherichia coli. RNAcentral's name for it is "partial 23S ribosomal RNA". It matches the Rfam family "Bacterial large subunit ribosomal RNA", at positions 367 to 1869 of the family's 2925-position model. Lineage: Bacteria; Pseudomonadati; Pseudomonadota; Gammaproteobacteria; Enterobacterales; Enterobacteriaceae. The record is from RNAcentral.